CAACUAGUGAAAGAGUCUGGCCAGCACCCAAGUGUGAUUCAUCCCUGUGUAAGCUGGGUCUCUGUGCAGGUCAAUUGCAUUGUCAUUGCAUCUCAUGGAAGGCAAUCUGAGCCAGUUACUAAAAAGGAGAGUUCAGCUGAGGUUACACUACAGAAAGAACAAUGUAACCCUCUUCAUCCUAAUGUGACUAAGGACUGGAAGUCUGAAUAGGAGCAAUCAUCCAAAAGCACUACUGUCAGUCUAACUUUGCAAUUUUGGUUGAAGAUCUUUCCUGUAGGCUACAACAAUACUGAG
Molecule: long non-coding RNA, 294 nt
Organism: Numida meleagris (helmeted guineafowl)
Lineage: Eukaryota; Metazoa; Chordata; Aves; Galliformes; Numididae
Exons: 3
Source: RefSeq, a predicted model, not a curated record